UGGGGAAUAUUGCACAAUGGGCGCAAGCCUGAUGCAGCCAUGCCGCGUGUGUGAAGAAGGCCUUCGGGUUGUAAAGCACUUUCAGCGAGGAGGAAGGUGGUGAACUUAAUACGUUCAUCAAUUGACGUUACUCGCAGAAGAAGCACCGGCUAACUCCGUGCCAGCAGCCGCGGUAAUACGGAGGGUGCAAGCGUUAAUCGGAAUUACUGGGCGUAAAGCGCACGCAGGCGGUUUGUUAAGUCAGAUGUGAAAUCCCCGGGCUCAACCUGGGAACUGCAUUUGAAACUGGCAAGCUAGAGUCUCGUAGAGGGGGGUAGAAUUCCAGGUGUAGCGGUGAAAUGCGUAGAGAUCUGGAGGAAUACCGGUGGCGAAGGCGGCCCCCCUGGACGAAGACUGACGCUCAGGUGCGAAAGCGUGGGGAGCAAAACAGGAUUAGAUACCCUGGUAGUCCACGCUGUAAACGAUGUCGAUUUGGAGGUUGUGCCCUUGAGGCGUGGCUUCCGGAGCUAACGCGUUAAAUCGACCGCCUGGGGAGUACGGCCGCAAGGUUAAAACUCAAAUGAAUUG
Molecule: ribosomal RNA, 567 nt
Filed under: uncultured bacterium
Lineage: Bacteria
Description: partial 16S ribosomal RNA
Rfam family: Bacterial small subunit ribosomal RNA
Source: RNAcentral